ACUCUGUAGGUGUCCAAGGCCUUCAGAAUUUAAUUUUAAUGGAAAAUUAACAGUGUGAGAAGGCAUUCCAUAAUCAAAUUAACAAAAUAUUUGUAGAAAUAGGAAAUACUCAAUAUUUUCUGAUGUUGCUGAAAAGUAAUGAAAGAUAAACACUGUAAGUUGUGAUUUGGCUUAGGAUUCUAAAAAUUUUAAUUAACUCACUAAUGUUUCCUUAUGAAAUAAAAUUAGUCUGAGAAUUGAAAGGAGUCCAUCAUUAAGUAUCAGCUAUUCUGACGCCAUCUAAACCAGAUUAUCUUUAAAUUAUGUCUAUGGCAUUUCAUGUAACAAACUUUGAAUUCUAAAGAAAAAGAAUCAAGUUUGUUUUACUGAGAGUAAUAUUUUCUUGACUGAGAAAGAUUAUGUUUGGAGGUCUUGAACCAUUCCUCCAGCUAAGAAAAUGGCCUUCAAAGAAAGGAAGUCUAAUCAGUCUAAUGAGCUGAUUUCUAUGUAGUAUGCUUGGAAAUACAAACUCAGGCAUGAAAAUAUUCAAUAAUAUUCUGAGCAUUUAAUCUGACUCUAGCAAUCUCUUCUAGCAGGCCAGAAAGAUAUGCUAAAAAUCAUCCUAGUUAGGGGUAAAAAUUUUGAAAACUCCCAUAGGCUUUUUAAUAGUGAAUAUAGGUUAUUUAUAUCAUUGUAUAUGGAGGUGCAUAAUGCUCUAAUAAAAAGAAAAUUUGCCAUUAACUUUAGAAAUGGCAAAUUGGUCUGUAGCAAAUUGUGUUCAUGAAGUGAGUCAUGUAGUCAAUAGGUCUGGGACAAUAUUUUUAUAGGUACCCCUGAGGCUCUUUAUGUUUUUCAGAAUUGUCUAUCUUGUCAAUAGCACACAGGAGGCUUUCUUUGUUUGGCAGAUGUAAGUUUGACUAGGAUACUUAAUCAGUGUCAGCUCUUUUCCAAGGGCCAUGAGCUUUCUUACCAAAAAGCACAAUUGCUGAAACUCAAUACAAGCCUGUGAACUGAAUUUUACGUGUAGGCAUCAGUCAGAGUGAGGACAUGCUAAGGGCCCGGAUAUAGUGGAUUACAGCUGGCAGCCACUUGUCAGAUAUGAAUGAUCAUUUUUGUACUCAAGUGACAGAGACUAGACUCAUGUUUCUGUCAUGCAAAAAAGUAAAAGGACCAAUGUAGAAAUUCCUUUCCCUCUCACAAUUCAUGGGUGUACAGUUUAGGAAUCCCAAUAUCCCUAAAAGUGAAGGCACUAUAGUAGAUAAAGAAGAAUACCAACUUACCUAGCGAAACUCCAAACGUCAGUGAAAUUAAAAAUAAGCAAAAUAAAAAGACAUCCAGAAUGAGUGAUUCCAAGUGAAAAAAUUGUCGAGAAAACCUAUAACCAAUUCAUGAAUCAGUCUAUCAAUCAGUUAAGAGAGCACAUAAGGAAACAAUUAUAUUGUUUCCUUCACAUUCACUUAUUUUUUUCAACACUCACUUAUUAGUUCAACAAAUAGUUCAACAGAUAUUUGUUAAUACUCUACCACAAGUGAAGUUUUUAGGGAUUCAAAACAAACCACUUUUUCUAAAUAGAAGAAUCUAGUGUUGCUAGAUUUCACAUGGCUGUCACCUCUAGUAAACAUAAAAAUGGAGAAAACACAUCCAAUCAAAUUAAAAUUUUUAAAAUUAUAAUGCAUGUGUGUUUGUGUGUGUGUAUUUAAUCCAGAUAUACAGAUGAUACUAUAGAUGAAUUCUUAUUUGGCAUAGAGAGAAAUGAGCUCAGCAGCAACUUACCCUUUCUGAAAUUCAAUGUUGGAUGUGUUGGGAAAUGGAACUAAAUGUAAGCAAAUGUCUUCAGAGUCUUCAGACUGAAUUAUUUCAACCUCUGUAAUGAAUAACUGGCUAUAAAAAUCUAAAGCCCGAUGAUCCUGGGUCUGGAGCAGAUCUCUAAAUAUAAACAUUGGAAACUUAGGCUGGAACAAGGGAAGACACACAACAAAAAGCCUAAG
RNAcentral lists this long non-coding RNA (1967 nucleotides) under Homo sapiens (human). RNAcentral's name for it is "HSALNT0319090". Lineage: Eukaryota; Metazoa; Chordata; Mammalia; Primates; Hominidae. The record is from RNAcentral.